Molecule: ribosomal RNA, 434 nt
Filed under: uncultured Lachnospiraceae bacterium
Lineage: Bacteria; Bacillati; Bacillota; Clostridia; Lachnospirales; Lachnospiraceae
Description: bacterial SSU rRNA
Rfam family: Bacterial small subunit ribosomal RNA
Source: RNAcentral
ACGGGAGGCAGCAGUGGGGAAUAUUGGACAAUGGGGGAAACCCUGAUCCAGCGACGCCGCGUGAGUGAAGAAGUAUUUCGGUAUGUAAAGCUCUAUCAGCAAGGAAGAAAAUGACGGUACUUGACUAAGAAGCCCCGGCUAACUACGUGCCAGCAGCCGCGGUAAUACGUAGGGGGCAAGCGUUAUCCGGAUUUACUGGGUGUAAAGGGAGCGUAGACGGCAUAGCAAGUCUGAAGUGAAAUGCAUGGGCUCAACCCAUGAACUGCUUUGGAAACUGUUAAGCUAGAGUGCAGGAGAGGUAAGUGGAAUUCCUAGUGUAGCGGUGAAAUGCGUAGAUAUUAGGAGGAACACCAGUGGCGAAGGCGGCUUACUGGGCUGUAACUGACGUUGAGGCUCGAAAGCGUGGGGAGCAAACAGGAUUAGAUACCCUGGUA